Molecule: ribosomal RNA, 736 nt
Filed under: Priestia megaterium
Lineage: Bacteria; Bacillati; Bacillota; Bacilli; Caryophanales; Bacillaceae
Description: bacterial SSU rRNA
Rfam family: Bacterial small subunit ribosomal RNA
Source: RNAcentral
UCGAGCGAACUGAUUAGAAGCUUGCUUCUAUGACGUUAGCGGCGGACGGGUGAGUAACACGUGGGCAACCUGCCUGUAAGACUGGGAUAACUUCGGGAAACCGAAGCUAAUACCGGAUAGGAUCUUCUCCUUCAUGGGAGAUGAUUGAAAGAUGGUUUCGGCUAUCACUUACAGAUGGGCCCGCGGUGCAUUAGCUAGUUGGUGAGGUAACGGCUCACCAAGGCAACGAUGCAUAGCCGACCUGAGAGGGUGAUCGGCCACACUGGGACUGAGACACGGCCCAGACUCCUACGGGAGGCAGCAGUAGGGAAUCUUCCGCAAUGGACGAAAGUCUGACGGAGCAACGCCGCGUGAGUGAUGAAGGCUUUCGGGUCGUAAAACUCUGUUGUUAGGGAAGAACAAGUACAAGAGUAACUGCUUGUACCUUGACGGUACCUAACCAGAAAGCCACGGCUAACUACGUGCCAGCAGCCGCGGUAAUACGUAGGUGGCAAGCGUUAUCCGGAAUUAUUGGGCGUAAAGCGCGCGCAGGCGGUUUCUUAAGUCUGAUGUGAAAGCCCACGGCUCAACCGUGGAGGGUCAUUGGAAACUGGGGAACUUGAGUGCAGAAGAGAAAAGCGGAAUUCCACGUGUAGCGGUGAAAUGCGUAGAGAUGUGGAGGAACACCAGUGGCGAAGGCGGCUUUUUGGUCUGUAACUGACGCUGAGGCGCGAAAGCGUGGGGAGCAAACAGGAUU